This 1085-nucleotide long non-coding RNA is filed under the name Chinchilla lanigera (long-tailed chinchilla). RNAcentral describes it as "lncRNA (ENSCLAG00000027595.1)". The record is from RNAcentral. Lineage: Eukaryota; Metazoa; Chordata; Mammalia; Rodentia; Chinchillidae.
GAAAUCUAAGGUCUAAAUAAAUAGAUAAUGGGAAACAGGAAGAUGUUUUGCAAAUUGGAAGGAGACCAAGAGAUGGAGGGAGGUGGGCAUGGAAGGGAAAUAAAGAGAAUGAGAAUGUGUUUUGCACAAGCACCCACCCCCCACAAUGAGUGUAAUUGUUAUAUACUUUGAAUGUGCACAAAUAACAAUGAAACUUAAAAAAAGUACAGUGUUCAGUGUUCUUAUCCCCUUUGCAUAUGUGAGGUUACUGCCUCUCUGUGGUUGGGUAUAGGACCAGUGUUCUUUCUGAAGGCAGGGGCUGGGAGGCGGGGAGCACCGAGGAGCAGACCACAAAGAUGCACUUCCUUGAAGGAGGUGCAAAUGCAGGCCCCAGUACUUCACUCCGGUCUGCUGGGUACUGCACACAUUUGAAGACAAGGACUUGGAGGAACAGACACGUCCUGUAACUCGUCCAUGCUCACGCGUCUUGUGUGUGACAGAGUUGGGGUUGGGGUGCUGUUUGUCUGACCCCUGCGUUCACAAGCUGAACUGCACCCCACUGUCCCUUACCAGUCACUUGCCCCUUUUAUAUUCCAGUCCACUCCACAUCUUUCCUAGCCAUUUCCACCGAUCGCAUCUCCACGCUGUCUUACCUGCACUGCUGGGAUUCUGUCACUGAUCUUUAUGCACCCAGCAUCUCUUCUGUCACAUCUCUUCUGUGAUCCUUAUACUCCUAGAGCUGUUCCUGUGUAACUUGGAUGCUUGAGAGAGCUGAUUUCAAUCCUUUUUAGCCCUCCUGAACCACUUGACCAAGUUUAACACUCUUUGCUCCAGGAAUUCAAAGAUGGAAAAGAGACCGAUGUAUUGGAUUCAGCAAACUAUAAGUGGGAAGACAAAUUUGUAUGAAUCACCAUUUUCCACUAACACUCCCCUCCAGGCAGCUGCGGCUCCAGGGGCUUCUUAUUUUUUAAACAAACAAGAAACUGUCGAUCCCAGACCCUUCAACAUGGACAUCAGUCUCUCAGAACACAAAUUGCUCACUGGCACCAUCUAUAACUCCAACUUCAGGAUGGGCUCCUGGUAAAAAAUGCCAUGAAACUUAGAGC